RNAcentral lists this ribosomal RNA (200 nucleotides) under uncultured bacterium. RNAcentral describes it as "partial 16S ribosomal RNA". It matches the Rfam family "Bacterial small subunit ribosomal RNA", at positions 328 to 539 of the family's 1533-position model. The record is from RNAcentral.
ACGCUCGACACCUACGGGAGGCAGCAGUUGGGAAUAUUGGACAAUGGAGGAAACUCUGAUCCAGUGACGCCGCGUGAAGGAAGAAGGUCUUCGGAUUGUAAACUUAUUUUGUCAGGGAAAGAAAAAAUGACUGUACCUGAAGAAAAAGCACCGGCUAACUACGUGCCGCAGCCGCGGUAAUCUGAGCGGGCUGGCAAGGC